RNAcentral lists this long non-coding RNA (851 nucleotides) under Ananas comosus (pineapple). RNAcentral describes it as "long non-coding RNA (ACOM_LNC020605)". The record is from RNAcentral. Lineage: Eukaryota; Viridiplantae; Streptophyta; Magnoliopsida; Poales; Bromeliaceae.
UAGAGGUACAAUAUCUAUAUCUAUAGAGUAGCUGCUACUAAGCCGCUUACGAUAAUUAAACUUUUGAAUCGACGAUCGACUUUAUUAAACUUGAUCUAACAUAUUUAAAAUAUUUAAAAAAUAAAUUUUGUAAUUUUUUAAUAUUAUUUACCUAAUGAUCGAAACAGUUAAAAAUCAACAGCUGAAAAUAAUAAUCUCAAAAAAAGUGGUGAUAUAGUAUUAAAAUUUUCGAUCAGAGAUAUUGAUCUUACUGUAGAUAGUAUAAAGAAUUUUUUAUCAAAAUUUCAUCUGAUUUGAAUACUUCUACAUCAUUAAAUUUGAAAGCAGCAGGUAUCAAUUAUUAAAAAAUAUUAAUUUUGAACUUUUUGAUCAUUAGAUAAAUGAUAUCAAAAAUUGUAAAAUUUAUUCUUUAGAUAUUUCUAAUACGUUAGAUCAAGUUUAACGGAGUCGAUUGUCGAUUUGAAAGUUUAAUCAUCGAAAACGGUUUAAGAGGCCUCCGUGCUCCGAAGAACACAAUAUCUAUGUACCUAUAUAUUAUUUUUUCUAAAUUUACCGCAUCUCAAACCGGCAAUCCUCCACAUAUUUUUCUCUUCUCUUCUUUAGUUUGUAUUAAAUCGGGUCACAUUGCUGCACUGGGUUGAAUUGUUUCUUUUCCUCUUCUUUUGGCUGUUACCUUCUUUUAUCGGCAAGAUGAAUCUCAUCUCUUAUCUGCGCUCCUUCCGUCGCUGUUUUCUCUUCCUUUGUGGCCCUUUUUUUUUUUUUUCUCUAAUUAUCUACCUAUCGCAUCGUAUUGUUUCACUAGUAUGCAUGGAGAGCCCUCACCUAUAGAGAAUUUUAAUUUUUUAAUAAUU